CGCGCUUGCGCUGCAUGGGAACUUGCCGGUCGGGCAAGCCCUGGCCCCGGGCGCCCGGGCAGCGGCUUCCUCGGGACCCCAGGCCCUUCGGUACCGAGGGGCUCCGCCGCCCACUUAGCGGUCGCGGAGGGCGAGGGCCGCCGGAAUCCGGCCGGGGACGGCGUGUGUGGCUGCCCACGGGAGGAGGGCAGGGGCCGUGGGAGGGAGAGCCAGGGAGGCUUUGCAGAAAGACCGUCCCUGUUCGCCUUGCCCGGGGUCCCUUUUCUAGCCGGGGUGGACGUGACAGUGUUCUUCAAGAGAUGCUCUCCGCAUAGUAAUAGACCUUGAAGUGCUCGGAAGAACGGCGAUGCUAAAAGCUGGAGUGUUGUAGCCUGCGGCCAGCACUCGGGGAGGCAGGGGCAGGCGGAUCGCUGAGUUCGAGGCCAGCCCGGCCUACACAGUGAGGCCAGGACAGCCAAGGCUGCACAGAGCAACCCUGUCUCGAAAAACAUUUAUAUUCUGGAACGUUGGCACCGUUCUGGGGACUCCCCCAGGUGUGCCCACUCACAGCUAGUCUUGCCACCCCCGCAUCUGUAAGUGGGUUUCCACGCUGAACAUUCACGCUUUACCCUGCCUGACCAAUGACGGCCAGUUCCCUUUCAAGUGCCUCAAACCAACCAAGCACCUCCAGAAGGGUUUGAAAUGUUGUGCAGCAUUAUUCAGCCAAGGCUCCCAGGCUGCAGCUAGAAGACUCUUUCUAAAAGUCAACAUUGAUCGCUUCCCUUCUGUUAAAGGAAGCUGUGGAGAAGAAGAAAGGCUGGGAGAUUAUCAGUCACCACACUAUUCAGACACUGGGGACUCUUUUGAAGACUGGGAACUUUAUUCUACUGGCAAUGAAAAGCUCUUUCUGACUGAUGGUCUUUACCUUCUAGUCUCAGAGACUCCUACCCCAGAAUCCCCAAGCUAUCUGAUUAGACCCUGAUGAUUAGACCUUCAAUACAAGUAAGUUUUCCAGGCCCACGUUAUGCUCCGUGUACAGUCCACUGGAACUUUAACCAAACAGUGGCUUCACCUCGUGGUUAGCAUAAAGCUGGAAGCACGUGAGAAUGUGAAAGAGAUAAGAAGGUUUCUUUCUUGCUUGUAGUACAUGGAAUGAGAACACUGGGGACAGGUCCUAAAGCAAUGCCUCUCUCCAAGUAAAGACAGCGAGGGCUUUCGUCAGAGAAUGGUCACCAAUGUGGAGGUGGGCACGUUACCGGACAUCAUGUUCCUUACAUCACAUGUUCGCAACUGGCAAGUGAGAACAGUGCCUGCAUAUGUGAGAGUAUAAUGAGCUCAGGUGUGGCCGAGCUGUGGCCCAUGGGGCCACCUUCUACAAAAUUGCUUAGUCGCUCUGACUUGGUCCUCUAGAUGAUAUGGUCUUCUAGCUUGCUCAUUAUGAUCUCUUACACUGAUUAAUGCUCCACUUAGGAGAUGUGCUAAUUUUGAACAUAUGCUAUAUGAAGAAGCAUAAUAUUUUAACGUGAUCACGCUCAGGGAUAUGUCCUCCUCUCCAUACGGUGAUGAAUAUAAAGCCCCUUGCUCGCGUUAUUGAGAGAGAUGUUGUAUUAGCAGUUAACCCCAGUGAUUAUUUCUUCUAGUUUAGGGUGGCCCAGGUAUUCUUUGCUUCUGUCAGCAUAACUUUAGCCUCUGCCUGUUUCAUAACAUCAAUGGCCUACUUCCUUGUAUCUUUGUCAGUUUUUUUAUGUAGACAGUGUUAUUGGACUCUAAUAAAGAGUAUCAUCCCAAGA
Meriones unguiculatus (Mongolian gerbil) is the source of this 1769-nucleotide long non-coding RNA. RefSeq lists it as uncharacterized. The transcript has 2 exons. The record is from RefSeq and is a predicted model, not a curated record. Lineage: Eukaryota; Metazoa; Chordata; Mammalia; Rodentia; Muridae.